AACACUGUUAACCUGCGGUACCUGCGGAAGGAUCAUUAAACAACUAGGCCGUAACAAGCCUUGAACCCUUCUCUACGCGCACCCUUACCUUCUCCUUCGGCGGGUCAGCGCCCGCCGUCGGAACCAACAAACCCCCUUUUGCAUCUAGCAUACCACCCGUUCCGAUACAAAACACAAUCGUUACAACUUUCAACAACGGAUCU
This 203-nucleotide unclassified non-coding RNA is filed under the name soil metagenome. RNAcentral describes it as "partial contains 5.8S ribosomal RNA, internal transcribed spacer 2, and large subunit ribosomal RNA". The record is from RNAcentral.